This 459-nucleotide ribosomal RNA is filed under the name uncultured bacterium. Its description in RNAcentral is "partial 16S ribosomal RNA". It matches the Rfam family "Bacterial small subunit ribosomal RNA", at positions 338 to 795 of the family's 1533-position model. The record is from RNAcentral.
CCUACGGGAGGCAGCAGUGAGGAAUAUUGGUCAAUGGUCGGGAGACUGAACCAGCCAAGCCGCGUGAGGGAUGAAGGUACAGAGUAUCGUAAACCUCUUUUGUCAGGGAACAAAGGCGGGGACGUGUCCCCGGAUGAGUGUACCUGAAGAAAAAGCAUCGGCUAAUUCCGUGCCAGCAGCCGCGGUAAUACGGAGGAUGCGAGCGUUAUCCGGAUUUAUUGGGUUUAAAGGGUGCGCAGGCGGUCUGUUAAGUCAGAGGUAAAAGCCCGGGGCUCAACCCCGGCCCGCCGUUGAAACUGGCAGUCUCGAGUUGGAGAGAAGUAUGCGGAAUGCGCGGUGUAGCGGUGAAAUGCAUAGAUAUCGCGCAGAACUCCGAUUGCGAAGGCAGCAUGCCGGCUCCACACUGACGCUGAGGCACGAAAGCGUGGGUAUCGAACAGGAUUAGAUACCCUUGUAGUC